RNAcentral lists this ribosomal RNA (468 nucleotides) under uncultured bacterium. RNAcentral's name for it is "partial 16S ribosomal RNA". It matches the Rfam family "Bacterial small subunit ribosomal RNA", at positions 28 to 507 of the family's 1533-position model. The record is from RNAcentral.
GACGAACGCUGGCGGCGUGCUUAACACAUGCAAGUCGAACGGAAAGGCCCUGCUUUUGUGGGGUGCUCGAGUGGCGAACGGGUGAGUAACACGUGAGUAACCUGCCCUUGACUUUGGGAUAACUUCAGGAAACUGGGGCUAAUACCGGAUAGGAGCUCCUGCUGCAUGGUGGGGGUUGGAAAGUUUCGGCGGUUGGGGAUGGACUCGCGGCUUAUCAGCUUGUUGGGGGGGUAGUGGCUUACCAAGGCUUUGACGGGUAGCCGGCCUGAGAGGGUGACCGGCCACAUUGGGACUGAGAUACGGCCCAGACUCCUACGGGAGGCAGCAGUGGGGAAUAUUGCACAAUGGGCGGAAGCCUGAUGCAGCAACGCCGCGUGCGGGAUGACGGCCUUCGGGUUGUAAACCGCUUUCGCCUGUGACGAAGCGUGAGUGACGUUAAUAGGUAAAGAAGCACCGGCUAACUACGUG